Molecule: ribosomal RNA, 253 nt
Filed under: uncultured bacterium
Lineage: Bacteria
Description: partial 16S ribosomal RNA
Rfam family: Bacterial small subunit ribosomal RNA
Source: RNAcentral
UACAGAGACUGCAAGCGUUGUUCGGAUUCAUUGGGCGUAAAGGGUGCGCAGGCGGUGUGCUAAGUCGGAUGUGAAAUCUCACAGCCUAACUGUGAUAGGUCAUUCGAAACUGGCAUGCUAGAGGUCUGGAGAGGAGACUGGAAUGGUCGGUGUAGCGGUGAAAUGCGUAGAGAUCGACCAGAACACCGGUGGCGAAGGCGGGUCUCUGGACAGUUCCUGACGCUCAAGCACGAAAGCCAGGGGAGCAAACGGG